This is a long non-coding RNA of Acanthopagrus latus (yellowfin seabream), 2213 nucleotides long. RefSeq lists it as uncharacterized. The record is from RefSeq and is a predicted model, not a curated record. NCBI's taxonomy places the organism in Eukaryota, Metazoa, Chordata, Actinopteri, Spariformes, Sparidae. The transcript has 4 exons.
GCUUCUUCCCCCCUAAUGAAUGAAGGAUCAUUUUCUCAUGUUCUAUUCUGUUAUUAUUGCAUUAUUACAUUUUUAUGUCAUGAUUGCUGGAGGUAAAUAGUGGGAAAACUACCAAAGUUAUUCACCCUCUGGCGAACAUGAAUGUCCGUACAAUUUUUUUUUAUCCAUCCACUAGAGCUAGUUGAGAUAUUUCUCCCUGAAACUAAAAAAAAAAAAAGCCAAUCUCAUGGUGCCACUGAAGGGAAAGUGGAGGAUCACCAAACUCAUAUACAGUAACUCACAAAAGUGAGUACAGCCCUCACCUUCCUGCAUAUAUUUUAUUAUAUCUUAGUGUUACAAGGUCUCAGGUGUGAAUGGGGAGCAGCUGUGUUCAAUUUGGUGUUAUUGCUCUCACACUCUCUCAUAAUGGUCACUGGAAGUUCAACAUGGCACCUCAUGGCAAAGAACCCUCUGAGGACCUGAAAAAAAGAUUUGUUGCUCUACAUAAAGAUAAUCUGGGCUAUAAGAAGAUCACCAACAUCCUGAAACUGAGCUGCAGCAUGGUGGCUAAGACCACACAGCAGUUUAACAGGACAGAUUCCACUUAGAACAGGCCUCGCCAUGGUCGACCAAGUAUUUGCUCAGCGUCAUAUCCAGAGGUCGUCUUUGGAAAAUAGGCGUAUGAGUGCUGCCAGCAUUGUUGCAGAGGUAGAAGAGGUGGGGGGUCAGCCUGUGAGUGCUCAGACCAUACACCCCACACUAUCAAAUUGGUCUGCAUGGCUGUUGUCUCAGAAGGAAGCCUCUUCUAAAGAUGAUGCACUAGAAAGCCCACAAACAGUCUGCUGAAGUCAAGCAGACUAAGGACAUGGAUUACUGGAACCAUGUACUGUGGUCUGAUGAGACCAAGAUGCACUUAUUUCAAUCAAUCACUACAUGAACCAGGGUGGGGCCGUGCGCGGGACCUCGAUGGACGGGCGGGACGGGCUGCUGCUGAGCCAGUAGUAACGUUAGUGAGUAGUAGUAGUGAGCGUCUUUGGAACUGUUGUGUCCGCAACUUGAAAAUGGUUAAGAGGAAGAAACGCCAGGGUGGUGCUGAGAAACAGCGAUUUAAAAAGUUGAAGUUUCUGGAGGUGGAGGCUUCUAAAUGUGCAAAGUUGACAGACCAUUUUGGUGCCGGGACCACCAACCUGCCAGCAGGCAGACGUGGUGCCUAAUGACCAUUGAUCCACUGCAAACUCAACAUGCUCAGCUUGAAAAGUACAACACACCUCUAUAGCGAUGUGGACCUGCUCGCAUGCUGGAGGUUUAGAAGUGCUGGUCUUAUCUGGUAGCAGUGGAGGAAACUGGGUGUUAUUCUGGGGAUAGUAGGAGUAAGCCCAGGUGGAGUUACCCAGCAUCAUCUCCUCUUGGUAGGAAGAUUCAUCCAUCCCUGCUGUGGCUCUGGUCCAGAUCACUGCUUAUCUACUGUGGAUGCCAUUUUGCAAAGAAAGCCAGUGCAAGAACACAAAUAUUGGAGGUGCAGUAGCGUAUAUUCACAAGAUCAUAAACCAUUGGCAAAGGUCUUCACAAUACACAAAUAAGUCACACUGUUCCAGUGGUUGGGUGAGGUUCGAUAAGCUUUUCUUUCCAGUGGUUGAUAAAAUUAGGAAAUUCAGGAAAAAUGACGUGAAAGAGUCACAAUACUCAAAAUCUGGCAAACAAACUAUGUUUCCUAUAAGGUCAGUGAGAUUAAAUCACUUUCAGCUGACCAAAUAAAAUGGCAUGAAGUUUGUUGUGAACAUAACCCUUUGGUUAUGAAAGAGAAGAGUGGGACGGUCAGACAUGACAAAUCUAACGAAAGCGAAUGGGACACAAACACCUCAGUGUUGAGAUCAUGGCACAGCUAAUGUGGCUGAUCACAUAGCCUUAACUUUUACCCUGCAAACAAGUGUUUCCCCUGUUUUUCAACUUCACUCGUGAGUUGGAUUCAUUUGAUUCAUGACGUGUUUCCAAGAAAGAAGCUGCUGCCAAAAGCUGAUGAAGACGUCUGGACAGUGAAUGUGAAAAAAGAGGGAAGCAAAUACAUGAAUGACGAAAUAAAACCAUUCAAGAAAAGUUAAACCAUACAUUUAAUUUCCAUUGUGCCCACCAUAACCACUGCUCUGAUUUAAAUGUGCCUAAUCUCAGAAUGACAUUAUCCAAAUCCCUUCCUAAAACGACAUAACAUGGUUAAUGGCCAUUAUAAUUAGCCUUUG